UGGGGAAUUUUGGACAAUGGGCGAAAGCCUGAUCCAGCCAUGCCGCGUGAGUGAAGAAGGCCUUCGGGUUGUAAAGCUCUUUUAGUCGGAAAGAAAGAGUCGCAAUGAAUAAUUGUGAUUUAUGACGGUACCGACAGAAAAAGCACCGGCUAACUACGUGCCAGCAGCCGCGGUAAUACGUAGGGUGCGAGCGUUAAUCGGAAUUACUGGGCGUAAAGGGUGCGCAGGCGGUUUUGCAAGUCAGAUGUGAAAGCCCCGGGCUUAACCUGGGAACUGCGUUUGAAACUGCAAGGCUAGAGUGCAGCAGAGGGGAGUGGAAUUCCAUGUGUAGCAGUGAAAUGCGUAGAGAUGUGGAAGAACACCGAUGGCGAAGGCAGCUCCCUGGGUUGACACUGACGCUCAGGCACGAAAGCGUGGGGAGCAAACA
This 427-nucleotide ribosomal RNA is filed under the name uncultured beta proteobacterium. Its description in RNAcentral is "bacterial SSU rRNA". It matches the Rfam family "Bacterial small subunit ribosomal RNA", at positions 355 to 774 of the family's 1533-position model. Lineage: Bacteria; Pseudomonadati; Pseudomonadota; Betaproteobacteria. The record is from RNAcentral.